AUGAUCUGCAAAGAGUGUGAAAGAAAUUGGAGCGUUUUUGAACAAGUUGAUGCAAAGAGGAGAAAUAAAUUAGAUGUGCGUCGUAGGGACGAUCUAGUUUAUAUUCAAUUCAAUGGAAGAUUUCUAGACAAAAGAAAGAAAUACUCCUCAUCUUGUGAUGUUCUCCUUGGUGAAGAUGCUUCCACAGCCCAAGAUUGGAUAUGUGAAGAUGCUUACGAUGAUGAAGAGAUGGGAACUACCAGAGUUGACAAUACAACAGAGCCUCGUAGAAGUCUAAGGGUGAGAGAGCUCCAUGAAGUGGAAGACUUUGUUUCCAUUAAUGAAGAUGACACUGUGCCUAUCAAUGAAGAUGAGAUUGAGUUUGAGUUUGAUAAUGACAUGGUUGGGGGGAUAGAACAAAUUAUGAUGAGGAAGACCUGA
Molecule: ribosomal RNA, 420 nt
Filed under: Triticum aestivum (bread wheat)
Lineage: Eukaryota; Viridiplantae; Streptophyta; Magnoliopsida; Poales; Poaceae
Description: partial small subunit ribosomal RNA
Source: RNAcentral